CGCACGGGUGAGUAACACGUAGGUAAUGUGCCUUUGGGUGGGGAAUAACUUAGGGAAACUUAAGCUAAUACCGCAUAAUGCGAUAACUUCUUCGGAAGAUUUUGUUUAAAGAUUUAUCGCCUGAAGAGCAGCCUGCGGCAGAUUAGCUAGUUGGUAAGGUAACGGCUUACCAAGGCUACGAUCUGUAUCCGACCUGAGAGGGUGGUCGGACACACUGACACUGAAUAACGGGUCAG
RNAcentral lists this ribosomal RNA (236 nucleotides) under uncultured bacterium. Its description in RNAcentral is "partial 16S ribosomal RNA". It matches the Rfam family "Bacterial small subunit ribosomal RNA", at positions 99 to 334 of the family's 1533-position model. The record is from RNAcentral.